CCUACGGGGGGCAGCAGUGAGGAAUAUUGCGCAAUGGAGGCAACUCUGACGCAGCCAUGCCGCGUGCAGGAAGACGGCCCUACGGGUUGUAAACUGCUUUUAACCGGGAAGAAACCCCUUUACGUGUAGAGGGUUGACGGUACCGGAGGAAUAAGCACCGGCUAACUUCGUGCCAGCAGCCGCGGUAAUACGAAGGGUGCAAGCGUUAUCCGGAUUCAUUGGGUUUAAAGGGUGCGUAGGCGGGGCGAUAAGUCAGUGGUGAAAUCCUGCAGCUU
Molecule: ribosomal RNA, 275 nt
Filed under: uncultured bacterium
Lineage: Bacteria
Description: partial 16S ribosomal RNA
Rfam family: Bacterial small subunit ribosomal RNA
Source: RNAcentral